Molecule: ribosomal RNA, 253 nt
Filed under: uncultured bacterium
Lineage: Bacteria
Description: partial 16S ribosomal RNA
Rfam family: Bacterial small subunit ribosomal RNA
Source: RNAcentral
GACAGAGGGUGCAAAUGUUGUUCGGAUUUACUGGGCGUAAAGCGCGUGUAGGCGGCUUCGCAAGUUGGAUGUGAAAGCCCACGGCUCAACCGUGGAAGCGCAUCCAAAACUGCGUCGCUGGAGUCCCGGAGAGGAAGGUGGAAUGCUUGGUGUAGAGGUGAAAUUCGUAGAUAUCAAGCAGAACACCUGCGGCGAAGGCGGCCUUCUGGACGGUGACUGACGCUGAGACGCGAAAGCGUGGGGAGCAAACAGG